AAAGUCGUAACAAGGUUUCCGCAGGUCAACCUGCAGAAGGAUCAUUCGCGAAUCUGUUGCCCUCCGAGGCUCACAUUCUCUAUCCUUCACACACCUGUGCACCCUUCUGAAGCGGAGAGGUAUUAAGCCUUUGGCCAAGCACCUCCCUUCGGCAUAUCAACUUCGAACCAUGUUUACUAGAAUGUGUACUGUCUUGUUGUAACGACAAGCACAAACCAACAAAACUUUCAGCAACGGAUCUCUUGGCUCAG
Molecule: unclassified non-coding RNA, 251 nt
Filed under: Basidiomycota sp.
Lineage: Eukaryota; Fungi; Basidiomycota
Description: partial contains small subunit ribosomal RNA, internal transcribed spacer 1, and 5.8S ribosomal RNA
Rfam family: Eukaryotic small subunit ribosomal RNA (bases 1-47)
Source: RNAcentral